Molecule: ribosomal RNA, 497 nt
Filed under: uncultured bacterium
Lineage: Bacteria
Description: partial 16S ribosomal RNA
Rfam family: Bacterial small subunit ribosomal RNA
Source: RNAcentral
GAUGAACGCUGGCGGCAUGCCUAAUACAUGCAAGUCGAGCGAACAGACGAGGAGCUUGCUCCUCUGACGUUAGCGGCGGACGGGUGAGUAACACGUGGAUAACCUACCUAUAAGACUGGGAUAACUUCGGGAAACCGGAGCUAAUACCGGAUAAUAUAUUGAACCGCAUGGUUCAAUAGUGAAAGACGGUUUUGCUGUCACUUAUAGAUGGAUCCGCGCCGCAUUAGCUAGUUGGUAAGGUAACGGCUUACCAAGGCAACGAUGCGUAGCCGACCUGAGAGGGUGAUCGGCCACACUGGAACUGAGACACGGUCCAGACUCCUACGGGAGGCAGCAGUAGGGAAUCUUCCGCAAUGGGCGAAAGCCUGACGGAGCAACGCCGCGUGAGUGAUGAAGGUCUUCGGAUCGUAAAACUCUGUUAUUAGGGAAGAACAAAUGUGUAAGUAACUAUGCACGUCUUGACGGUACCUAAUCAGAAAGCCACGGCUAACUACGUG